RNAcentral lists this ribosomal RNA (465 nucleotides) under uncultured bacterium. RNAcentral's name for it is "partial 16S ribosomal RNA". It matches the Rfam family "Bacterial small subunit ribosomal RNA", at positions 338 to 795 of the family's 1533-position model. The record is from RNAcentral.
CCUACGGGAGGCAGCAGUGGGGAAUGUUGCGCAAUGGGCGGAAGAGUGACGCAGCGACGCCGCGUGAAUGACGAAGGCCUUCGGGUCGUAAAGUUCUUUCGACAGGGAAGAAAAUGCAUAUAAGUAACUGUGUAUGUAUUGACGGUACCUGUAUAAGCAGCCCCGGCUAACUCCGUGCCAGCAGCCGCGGUAAGACGGAGGGGGCGAGGGUUGUUCGGAGGGACUGGGCGUAAAGAGCAAGUAGGAGGUGUUGUAAGGCAUUAGUCAAAGACGAGGGCUCAACUUUAGUAAGGCUAGUGAUACUAUAAUACUAGAGUAUCAGAGAGGAUUGCAGAAUUCCUGGUGUAGCGGUGAAAUGCGUAGAUAUCAGGAGGAAUACCGUUGGCGAAGGCGGCAAUCUGGCUGGAAACUGACGCUGAGGUGCGAAAGCGUGGGUAGCAAACAGGAUUAGAUACCCGUGUAGUC